Molecule: RNA transcript, 9733 nt
Organism: Cavia porcellus (domestic guinea pig)
Lineage: Eukaryota; Metazoa; Chordata; Mammalia; Rodentia; Caviidae
Gene: N4bp2l2
Gene name: NEDD4 binding protein 2 like 2
Exons: 11
Source: RefSeq, a predicted model, not a curated record
CGCCAUCUUGCGUACGGAGGUCUUGUUGAUUACUUACCUCAAGAGUCUGAAGGCUGGGCAUUUGGUCCCUCCAUCUGCUUGCUUUGUGGUGGUGUUUGUCUCUUUCACGUUUACGGAGAUUUUUGUUUUGUUGGAGAAAAAAAUUUUUUUCGCGAGCUAAAGGUCCAUGCUGAGGUUCUAGAAGAUGCCUUAUGGUGAAAUUGAAGCUAAGUUCUUGGGACCUGGAAAAGAACUAACAAAUGAACCAUGCUAUAAAAAGUUGAAGUCAGCUGCAGAAGCCCACGUUUUCCCACGUCAUAGCAGUGCUGAUUAUCUUCAGAAGGAGAAAACCCAAACCACAGAUUUGCAGAAACCUAAUAGACUAAAUGUUGCUGAAUCCACUGGUUCACAAAUUUUACAAGAUGAUGAAAUAUAUAGUACAAGUAAGGCAUUUAUAGGACCUAUUUACAAACCCCCUGAGAAAAAAAAAUGUCAUGAAAGGAAUGAAACAGACACUCACAGUGGUGCAAAUGGUAAAAGAAGACAAGAGAAGAAACGGAAAUUUAACAGCAAAAAAUUAGAGAUUGACACUGAAUUAUCACAGUUUUACAAAGAAAUUGAAGAACUUGAAAAUGAAAAAGACAAUUUAGAAGUCAGUUGUAAGGAAUCUGAACCUUCUCAGGAACAACUUUUUCCUGAGAAAAAUUAUGAGAGCCACAGUAAUGAUGUCUUAAAAUCUGAUGACACAAGUAAAUAUCUUAAUAGUGUUCCUCAAUCACAUAGUGGUUACCAGCAGUACUUGGGCAAUGAGCCAGGCAAAUACGUCUAUGAUGGACAAGUAAUACCUACAUUUUGUGAUACUUCAUUUACUUCUUUCAGGCCUGAAUGGGAAUCAGUGCAUCCCUUCAUAGUACCCUGUGGUCCCCCUGUUCCCAGUUUUAACCAUCAUUUAAGUAUUCAAAGAUUCGGUGCUCCGCCAAAUCCAUCACCAAAUAUUUUCCAUGCUCAAGACGAAUAUCGGAUACAAAAUGGGUAUGAUAUAGAUAGUUGUGUUAACUGGAAUUGUUUGACUUUUGAUCAGAACAAUGAGUAUACUGACUAUAGUGAGAAUAGCAGUCGUGUUUAUCCUCCUAGAAAUGGUUGUAGUGUACAAGAUGGAUAUGUAAAUAAUGGUUUAUGUGAAAUCAGGGAAGGAAGUUGGAAAGAGCCUCGUAUGGAUGAGUUUAAUGGAAUGGACAGGUUUAUGAAUCAACAGUUUCAAGAAGAAAAGUUAAAUAAAUUACAGAAAUUACUUAUUCUUUUAAGAGGUCUUCCUGGUUCUGGGAAAACAACUUUGUCUCGAAUUCUGCUUGGUCAGAGUCGUGAUGGCAUUGUGUUCAGCACUGAUGACUAUUUUCACCAUCAAGAUGGGUACAAGUAUAAUGUUAAUCAGCUUAGUGAUGCCCAUGACUGGAAUCAGAACAGAGCAAAGCAAGCUAUUGAUCAGGGGAGAUCUCCAGUUAUAAUAGACAACACUAAUACACAAGCUUGGGAAAUGAAACCAUAUGUGGAAAUGGCCAUAGGAAAAGGAUACAGAGUAGAGUUUCAUGAACCUGAAACUUGGUGGAAAUUUGAUCCUGAAGAAUUAGAAAAGAGGAAUAAACAUGGUGUGUCUCGAAAGAAGAUUGCUCAGAUGUUGGAUCGUUAUGAAUAUCAAAUGUCCAUCUCUAUUGUAAUGAAUUCAGUGGAACCAACACAGAAAAGCACACAAAGACUCCCUCCUCCACAGGGAAACCAGAGAGAAACAGUUUGGAAGAGAACCGAGCAUAGACAAAAGCGAAACAGAAGAAGAAACAAAAAGCAUAAUAGUCUUAGUGAAAUCAUGCUUGAAAACUCAUUUGAUGCCUUAAGUUAUCUUGCACCAGGAGAUCAGGACCCAUAUCCAAGUGAAAAAGAAGAUUUUGAAAAGACCGAAAGAGAAUCAGUUUGUCCCUUAACUACUGGCUUACAGAAUGAAUGUGGGGAUUCUGUGAAUGGUUAUAAAGAAAAUAGUUGGAAUAACAUAGAUUCUGAAGAUAGCUAUCCAGAUGUUGCACCUACAGUUGAGUCGGACAGCUCAUCAAAGAAUUGUCUCCCUAUGGAAGAUGAUGACUUGUCAUCAGUACCAAAUGUUACUCGUCCAAUAGGGACUCAGAAUCUUCCCUGUGUAACAAGGAAUGACUGCUAUGGCAGGAAGGUAGAAAAACGUACUGGAAAUAGACAUAACUCAGCAUUAGAUACCCAUGACCUAUUUGCUGAAACUCCAUGUUCAUUUAGGAAGAAGAGAGAGAGAGUAGAUAAAAAUCUCUCAAACAAACCAGUCCCCUGCCAUCAAUGUAUAUCUAGACCUUCAGAUGUUUUAAGAGAGGAACAAGGAGAACACAAAACUAUGAAUAAUUGUUGGGCUUUUUUCACAGCCAAUGUGUCUGAUAAAGAAUUACAGUUAGGCCCUGACAGACAACCCUCUUUUGGUAGCUGGCCAGAGGGAACUCAUAAGUUUGUAUGUGAACAAAGGCAAAAGAAAAACAGAUCACGUAAACUGACCUGUCCUGACAGCAGAGAACAAAUGAUUAAAUUGAUUUCUACUGCUGAAGGAGCAUCAGGACCAGCAAGCAGUCCAGAAAUAGCAAUAGAGGAGAAACUACUGAUAGAAAAUGAAGAUUUGCUACCUUCAACUGAAACUACAGAUUCAUUCAUAGAAACAGAAACAAAUCUAUUCGGAAGCCCUUUACUUCUAGAUGUCCCAAAGAGUGCCUCAGAACCAACAAAGAAUAAGAUACAGAAAAGGAUUUUCAAUUUGGCACCAAACUGUAACUUACUGGAACAGAGUAAUAUCAAUGCAAAAGAAAGGGAGAAAUAUGGCUUAUUAUCAGAAAACUGUGAACCAAGCCUUAUUGUGGGAAAAGAAAAUGAUAAAAUUUCAGAAAUAAAUAACAAAGAGGAGAAAAAGCAAAAAGUUAUGGUCUUUAAUAAUCAACCAUUGUGUUUUUACCUUGAUAUCAAAGAUUCCCCACCAAAUUUUGGUGGACAGUUUUAUUCUCAUUAUAUGUCACUUAACAGACCAGGACACACUGUAUAUUUUUACAAAUAUCCUGUUCCUUCUCUUGUACUACAUUACAUAUCUAGCUUUUGGCUAGUACUUUCUACCAAUAAAAAAACAUUUUUGUCUUUCAAAUCUCAGACAAGAUUCAGCAAUAAACUAAAUAAUAUAGGGUUGUUUUCUUCAAAAAUUUUAAGUGAUCAAGCUCGUGCUUUGUGUUCUUUGAGAGUUACUUCUGAACCUCACUUUUUAAAUCAGCCAUUUGAUGGCAAGCUAAAGAGAUGGGAAGAAUCGAAGCUAUUACAAUGCUUACCUACUAAGGACAGACAAGAUUUAAUAAACAGUGAUUUUAAUUUCCUUGGGCUACCAUUAUCACAAGACUUUGCUUUUCAACUAAUAAAGGUUUUCGGAUCUCCUGGGGUUCCAACAGAAUCCUUGUCACCUGAUAACUGUGUGAUUCACCAUGACUGGAAAACAUUGAAGAUGCUGUAUUUGCAAUGGAAGAUGGCAGUAGAGAAAAAACAGAAGAUGAUACUGGCUAGAACUGAGAAUUCCUUGAACUGUUCUUACCAUUGACCUGUAAGAUCCACUUCCAGGAGCUCAUCCUAAGAAAAUAAUUGGACAAGUACGUGAAGAGAGGAAUGUUCAUCACAGAAUUUUUUUGUGUAAUAAAAACCAUGGGACAAUUUAAAUGUUCAGAAAGAAAGGAUUGGCUUAUAAGUCACGUAGUCAUUAUGGAAACAUAGAUGUAUAUUUGGUCUGUAAAUGUAUUGUUCCUUUAAAAAACUUAAAAAGACACACACAGGCACACACGUAUUUUCUGUCCUAAGAAGUCUAUGUAUAUGCAUACAAAAAUGUGUACAAAGAUCAGUGUUUUUUGGUAAUUGUUGACUUUAGCUAGUGGAUUAUAGACUUUUACCUCUAGGUUUAUUUUCCAAUUUCUUACAACAAAUACAAAUAAAUAGAUACAUGUAUAUAUACAAAUAUACAAUUUUCAAAUGUGAAAAUUAAGGCACUAUUGAGUAAAAGGCUUUGUUUAAUGGCUUACCUAGCUAGAUCUAGAGGUUUUAUGAGAUAGCCUUAUUAUGUAAGUAAAUAUGUCAUUUGCCAUAUUAAAAGGCUUUCCUAGAUUAAUUCUCAUUUGGACAUAAACUAGGAAGCUCUUUUACCCUCAAAGAUGGGUUUUUAGUGACUUACUAAAUUUUACCUGAUUUUAAUAAGCAUCUAUCACUUUAUUCCUCAGUACUUCAGAUAUAUUUUAGUAAAAUGGAGCUAAUAUUGCAUUUUAUUUUGAAGAUUUUAGAUACUGUGGUAAACACAGACCCUGCAGUUAGAUAUAUGGAUUAAUCACUGUGGAGUGUGUUAUUUAUGGUGCCAAAUGUUCAUUAUCGGUCAUUAAUCAACUGUAACACUGUUCACUGAGUACAUGUAAAACUGUGAACACUUACUCCAUAAGGCGUACACCAAAUAAAGUUAAGCGAAGUUGCCUACACAAGACUAACAAGUGGAAGUCAGUAACCAGUGCUCUGUUGGGGUAAGUAAAGUCCAGUAGCAUUCCACAUACUCACAGUGUUCAAGGCCAAGGGAACCAGUGAGUUACCUAGUUCAGGCUAGUUAGGCCCAGAGUGUCUCCUGCACUAGGAGCGGGUCCUUGAGCUGGCCUUGAAGGAGGGUAGGGCCAAUGGCAGCGUCAGGAAGGAGACAGAGAUGGGAAAGGGGGGUUCUCCUGGCCUUGGCCAGGACGCUUCAUAGCAGUCGGAGUACUAGACAGGUGAUCCUGGGUUAGGUCAUAGCAGUGAAAACUGACAGAAGACCCCACAGAAGGAAGACUUCCCGUAGCAAGAGCCUUUCACUCACCCUGUGACCCAGAGCCAUUCCCAUAGCUGAUGUAAUAAACUGGAUCUAUUGCUGUCGUUUGCUUUGGCUGCAGUGAGAGCAUCUGUAGUGAGCACCUGUGCUUUCUCUGUGUGUGGUCAGAUGUCUUCCUGUCUGUACAUUUUCACCUUUUUUAAGUAUUAAAAAGCAGUGGCAUUAAUUAUAUACAUGAUACUGUGCAGCCAUCCUGCUAUUUCAAGUUUUUUUUAUCACCUCCCAAAAGAAGCUCUGUGCCCAUUAAAUAAUAAGUCACUGUUCUGUGGGCGUGGUGGUGCACUCCUGUAAUCCCAACGCAGGAUGGUGGAUCACUGCAAGUUUGAGACCAGCCUGGGCUACAAAGUGAGCUCGAGGCCAGCCUGAACAGCGGAGCGAGACCCCGUCUCACAAAGAGACACACACACACACACACACACACACACACACACACACACACACACGCGCGCGCAGAAUCACUGUUCUUCCUCCCUCAUUACAAACUAAGCUACUUGCUGCCUCUGUGUGUUUUUGCCUUUUCUAAGAGCCUCAUGCAAGCAGAUUAGUUUUUGUCCUUUUUCAUUGGCUUUUUGUCCUUUUUCAUUUUGUUUUCAAAGGUCUGUACAUGUUGUAACAUGUGUCAGAACUUCAUUAUUUUAUGUCUGAAUAAAAUGCUACUAAAUGUUCUUUUGGAAUGGCAAUAAUAGUGUUGCUUUUGUUUCUUUUUUUAAAAAAUAACUUUAUUUGGAAAAUUAAAAAUCAUCAACCUCAUAUCAGUUCCUGGAAUUAUUUUGAGCCUUUACACCUCAAAGCCAAGUCUGGGAACUACGCUGUGGUACAUGGUGCAUGUUUGUCAUGUUCUAGCCCCUUUUGGCACCAUCAUAAACGAUGUGUAAUGUGGAUUCAGUCGGGCUGAAAGGGUGCUUGCUGAUGGCUUUUUUUCUCAUUCCUGUUUCUGGUUAACAGUUUUCCAUCAAGAGAAAUACCAUUUGGUGAUUCCUCAAUGCUAGCAUUUUCUAAGGCAGUAGAGGGGUACUUUUCUAAUAUGAGGCAAUAACACAGAGAUGGGGAGAAGUGUAUACAGCUGAGCAAGCAGUGGGAUCCAGGAAGCAGUCAGGACGGGAGACCAGGUCGGGUCACUAGUGGUGUCAGUCUGACUUCUGAGUACGCUAUGCUGACAGCCACCUGCACCUUGGUGUUGCUGUCCACGCAGCCACGUCCCACUCAGGUCAAAGUAGAAAGUCUGUGUAUAUCAAAUAGAGUAUCUGGCGGGGCUUAGCCCAGAUUUCUAGAUAUUUAGCUCUACUUAGAAAUUGAUCACUAGAGUUUUAAAUAUUUCAUGAUUUUCUUAAACAGUCCAAAGUCUCCUCUAAGGAGAAAACUUAAAAUGCCUCUCUCUGGAUGAGAAGAUGAUUGAGAGCUGGCAGCGCUGCACACAUUUCCUAAGAGUGGUAUGGUGUUGUGCCACGUGUCUGCAGUCACUAGACAGACUUGUCAGGAAGUGUUCGCUACACAGGAGACACCACCGUCCUGUUCCUGGAGCUUUUGGGACAAUGAAGGAAGACGCUGCUGACUUGUGGCCACGUUGUACCACACGUGUGAGCCACAAUUUGAGCGCAGGUAGAAGCGGAUGAGGGGCAUUUUUGUAGUAAAAGCUCAAGAGAUGUGUAAGAAGUUCCUUGAGUUCACCUAGUUCAGGCCCAAGACAUGAAACUUGAUCAAUUUCUUGAUCCUGCUUCUAAUCCAGAGCGUUUUCUUCUAUAUGAAAGAGGGUAGCAGGAGUGACCUGGUCAAAGUGUAAUGAGGUAGUUUUGAUCUGUUGUAAUGAAAACAACACUUAAAGACUCAGAGGGGAAAAAAGACUUGUGGGGCUAAAUUAACCUGGAUUUCACCUGUCAGGGUAAGGAAGCUACUUUUUAUUGUUAUUUAUCAAUACUAAUAAUAUGUUUGUCUCCUAAUUGAAAAACUAUAACCCAGGGAUGCUUUUUGUCUUGUUAAUAUGUUACAAUUGGGGGCAGUGGAGAACAAAAGAUUUAGAUUUUAAAUAAAUAUUCUGAUUAUGAUAUGUUGGAGAGAGUUAUCAAUUCCCAACUCCCAGGGAUCUAGAUCUGCUCACCUAAUAGACUAUUUAUUACUCAAAUUAACUUCUUCUUGGCAUUUCAGUAAAAUCUAUUUAAUGGCACCUUCCUAGAUUCAGAUACUAGACCAGCCCAAUAAGAAAUUAUUUUUUUAUCAUUGUAAGUGACCUAAAGACACCUGGCUCUGUGGGGUUGAGUACAUAGUGUGAUAAAGAAAAGCUAGCCUAAUUUCUAAUUGUUCCUUCAUAAGGCUGUCUGUCGGAUCAUGUGUGUGGCUUGGGGAGAAGGCUAUCUGUUUUUAUCAGGUAAGAAUCUGGGAAGGCGGAAGGGAAAAACAGAACCAAAAAGCCAACACACAGAAAAUACUGACCGUGUGCCUGGUGCUUUCUAGACACUGGGGUGUUCAAUCUUCACAAUAACUCUGUGAACACAGAGGUCAUUUUCCUUUAUAGAUGAGUACAUUAGCAUCAGGGGACCGCAUCUGACACCUCACUAGGGAUGUCUUGAACCAGUACACCUCCACCUCCUGCUCAGUUUCUAAGGAUUCUGUUGAACUGCCAUUGCACUGCUGGAUCUUUUGAGGUUCUUUCCCGUGUUUUAAGGAUGUGAUGAAGAACACAGUUUGGGAGAAGCUUUCUGUGCUGGCUAGCACCUCUUCAGCAGCCUUUGUCCUGUGUCCGUCUUGACUGUCUUUUCUACAUGUGGCACAUAGUAAGAUUCACUACAUAACUGAUGAACAGAUUUGCUAUUGAGAAGCUUCUGAGAGAUGGGAGCUAGACUUCAGCGUGGUUCUUGAGAAAAUCACAAGACAGAUUAUUCACAUAAAAAUGCAAAAGAAUGCUAUGUGGAGAAUAAAGGAGUUUCAAAAAAAAAAAAAGAAUAGUCACCAUAAAAUUAGAUGCACAGAAAACUUUUUUUUUUUAACAUUUGAGAAUGUUUGAUGUGCCAGUUGCUCUGAGUUAUACUAAAACAAUUUACAAAAUUAGGGUCAGGUGCACCCGCUGUCCUCAUUAAUCACUCAAAAGAGAGCCCAAGAUGGAUUAUUUUCUUGGAUGGCCAGUCUUCUGCUAUCUGUAACUGAUAUGAUGCUGGGAGACAAAAGCUAAAACAAAGUACCGAGGCAGGUGUGCCUGAUCCCUUUCUCAGCCCUGAGUGUUACUGCACUAAGCAACACACACAGGAGAAACCCGAACCAUUGCUACGUUCUGCAGAAGGGCGCUGCCUACAGGCAGGAAAGUGAGCACGAAGUGGGACCAUGUAGAUAAGUGACAGCAAGGUAACAACAGGGACUGUGCAUUUUCCAUCUCAUAAACAGGCCCCAGUGUGGAGGCCUGAGGGGUACAAGGCCAGACAGCAGAAGGACAGCUGGGAACUUGUGGAGUCACUCAGCCUUCGUGGCUUGGUGAUACAGGGCUGGCAGUGUGUGUAACAGGUAUCUCCAAGGGCAGGGCUCAGCCGUGGCAAGGUGGAUGGCAGCUUGUGAAGGCCAGGAAACGUGAGGGGGGGGGGGAGACUGUCCCAUGGUGUACAGCCAGGCUCCUGCCCCGUUCUCAGGCUGCUGGGUCUCCUGCUUCCAUUUUAAAGUACUCUGGAAGGAUUCUAGUAGCACCCACAGGAAGUACUAGGAUCUAAGCUCUUUACGCUCAGUCUCCUCUAAGGGAUAAACCUGAGGUUUGGGUAAAAUUCUCAUUAUCCAUAGAUGAAAAAUUUUCCUCACAUGGUUUAGGACCCUGUAGAAAGAGUUCACAUAAUUAGUCAAGAAAGCAUUAUAGGAGCUGGGGAUUUAGCUCAGUGGCAUAAGCACCUGCCUUGCAAGCAGGCAGUUGUGAGUUCGAUCCCUGGUACCGAUAAAAAGAGAAAAAGAAAAAAAGCAUUUAUAGUCAUGAACCAUUCAUAUAUUCACCAAAUUUAUUAUCUCCCACGUGCCUGGCAUUUUUUUCUGGAUGCUUCAAAUAGAGCAGCAGACAAAAGACAAAAAUCCCUGCCUUCAUGGAACAUAGGGGUUUUUUCUAAAAUAUUUUCUGAAGGAAAAUUGAGAUAGCAUGUGCUUUGGUCUAUUGUCUCAAAACAAAUGACUCCUACAGCUACUCCACUUGAGGUGCACGCCACAAGAGUCAUCCAUGGGUGCCCAUAAGACAGGUACAGUGAAGCUCAUGCAACUGCAUGCAUCAGAGGGAAAGCUGCAAACCUGAAGAUCACCAGAAAAAGGCAUCAGUAAACAGGUUUAUAACUUCAUAGUGCUCAAGCAUAAUGGUUUCCUGUGGAGCUCCAGGAUCGGAAACCUGGCUUUUAAUCCAGCUGCACCACUCAUUGGUCGGCAACAUGGGGUUAAUAACAGUAUUUAUCUCCCAGGAUUAUUUGAGCCUUCCAUUAGAAAUGUGAAGCUAUUAGAAUAGUGCAUAGCACAAAAUAACUUAAUAUUAGAUAUGUUUAUAUUGCUGAUAAUGGAGUACUACGUAGCAGUUAAAAGUAAUGGACUGUAUGUAUCAGCAUGAAUAAAUCUAAAAUAUAUAAUGCUCCAUUUUUUUCAUUCCAUAAAUAUUUAUUGAGUGUCUACUAUGUUCCAGGUAGUGUUCUAGGUACUUGGGAAUCACCAGUGAACAAAACACAGAUCCUGCCCAUGUGGACCUUGUAUACCAGAGACAGCUGCAGCGUGACUUUCCCAUGGCUGCGAUUUUCAGCACGGAUGACUUUUUCAGCAGGGAAGAUGGUGCCUAUGAGUUCAAUCCUGACUUCUUGGAGGAAGCUCAUGAAUGGAACCAGAAAAGAG